This 581-nucleotide unclassified non-coding RNA is filed under the name Penicillium polonicum. Its description in RNAcentral is "sequence contains 18S rRNA gene, ITS1, 5.8S rRNA gene, ITS2, 28S rRNA gene". The stretch from base 220 to 372 matches the Rfam family "5.8S ribosomal RNA". The record is from RNAcentral. Lineage: Eukaryota; Fungi; Ascomycota; Eurotiomycetes; Eurotiales; Aspergillaceae.
UCGUAACAAGGUUUCCGUAGGUGAACCUGCGGAAGGAUCAUUACCGAGUGAGGGCCCUUUGGGUCCAACCUCCCACCCGUGUUUAUUUUACCUUGUUGCUUCGGCGGGCCCGCCUUUACUGGCCGCCGGGGGGCUCACGCCCCCGGGCCCGCGCCCGCCGAAGACACCCCCGAACUCUGUCUGAAGAUUGAAGUCUGAGUGAAAAUAUAAAUUAUUUAAAACUUUCAACAACGGAUCUCUUGGUUCCGGCAUCGAUGAAGAACGCAGCGAAAUGCGAUACGUAAUGUGAAUUGCAAAUUCAGUGAAUCAUCGAGUCUUUGAACGCACAUUGCGCCCCCUGGUAUUCCGGGGGGCAUGCCUGUCCGAGCGUCAUUGCUGCCCUCAAGCCCGGCUUGUGUGUUGGGCCCCGUCCUCCGAUUCCGGGGGACGGGCCCGAAAGGCAGCGGCGGCACCGCGUCCGGUCCUCGAGCGUAUGGGGCUUUGUCACCCGCUCUGUAGGCCCGGCCGGCGCUUGCCGAUCAACCCAAAUUUUUAUCCAGGUUGACCUCGGAUCAGGUAGGGAUACCCGCUGAACCUAAGCA